UACGUAGGGUGCGAGCGUUGUCCGGAAUUAUUGGGCGUAAAGAGCUCGUAGGCGGUGUGUCACGUCGGCCGUGAAAACCCGCAGCUCAACUGUGGGCUUGCAGCUGAUACGGGCGGGCUUGGAUUCGGUAGGGGAGACUGGAAUUCCUGGUGUAGCGGUGAAAUGCGCAGAUAUCAGGAGGAACACCGGUGGCGAAGGCGGGUCUCUGGGCCGAUAUCGACGCUGAGGAGCGAAAGCGUGGGGAGCGAACAGG
RNAcentral lists this ribosomal RNA (253 nucleotides) under uncultured bacterium. RNAcentral's name for it is "partial 16S ribosomal RNA". It matches the Rfam family "Bacterial small subunit ribosomal RNA", at positions 524 to 776 of the family's 1533-position model. The record is from RNAcentral.